AUCCUGGCUCAGAUUGAACGCUGGCGGCAGGCCUAACACAUGCAAGUCGAAUGGUAACAGGAAACAGCUUGCUGUUUCGCUGACGAGUGGCGGACGGGUGAGUAAUGUCUGGGAAACUGCCUGAUGGAGGGGGAUAACUACUGGAAACGGUAGCUAAUACCGCAUAACGUCGCAAGACCAAAGAGGGGGACCUUCGGGCCUCUUGCCAUCAGAUGUGCCCAGAUGGGAUUAGCUAGUAGGUGGGGUAACGGCUCACCUAGGCGACGAUCCCUAGCUGGUCUGAGAGGAUGACCAGCCACACUGGAACUGAGACACGGUCCAAACUCCUACGGGAGGCAGCAGUGGGGAAUAUUGCACAAUGGGCGCAAGCCUGAUGCAGCCAUGCCGCGUGUAUGAAGAAGGCCUUCGGGUUGUAAAGUACUUUCAGCGGGGAGGAAGGGAGUAAAGUUAAUACCUUUGCUCAUUGACGUUACCCGCAGAAGAAGCACCGGCUAACUCCGUG
RNAcentral lists this ribosomal RNA (502 nucleotides) under uncultured bacterium. RNAcentral describes it as "bacterial SSU rRNA". It matches the Rfam family "Bacterial small subunit ribosomal RNA", at positions 16 to 507 of the family's 1533-position model. The record is from RNAcentral.